CCGGCGACCGGCGCACGGGUGCGUAACGCGUAUGCAACCUACCUUUAACAGGGGGAUAACACUGAGAAAUUGGUACUAAUACCCCAUAAUAUCAUAGAAGGCAUCUUUUAUGGUUGAAAAUUCCGAUGGUUAGAGAUGGGCAUGCGUUGUAUUAGCUAGUUGGUGGGGUAACGGCUCACCAAGGCGACGAUACAUAGGGGGACUGAGAGGUUAACCCCCCACACUGGUACUGAGACACGGACCAG
Molecule: ribosomal RNA, 245 nt
Filed under: uncultured bacterium
Lineage: Bacteria
Description: partial 16S ribosomal RNA
Rfam family: Bacterial small subunit ribosomal RNA
Source: RNAcentral